Molecule: non-coding RNA, 23 nt
Filed under: Arabidopsis thaliana (thale cress)
Lineage: Eukaryota; Viridiplantae; Streptophyta; Magnoliopsida; Brassicales; Brassicaceae
Source: RNAcentral
GGAUGCUCAAUCCGGUUGUUUUC